AUACGGAGGGUGCAAGCGUUAUUCGGAAUCACUGGGCGUAAAGGACGCGUAGGCGGGUUGGCAAGUCAGAUGUGAAAUCCCACAGCUUAACUGUAGAACUGCAUUUGAAACUGCUAACCUAGAGUAUGGGAGGGGGAGAUGGAAUUAGUGGUGUAGGGGUAAAAUCCGUAGAUAUCACUAGGAAUACCGAAAGCGAAGGCGAUCUCCUGGAACAUAACUGACGCUAAGGCGUGAAAGCGUGGGGAGCAAACAGGAUUAGAAACCCUAGUAGUCC
Molecule: ribosomal RNA, 274 nt
Filed under: uncultured bacterium
Lineage: Bacteria
Description: partial 16S ribosomal RNA
Rfam family: Bacterial small subunit ribosomal RNA
Source: RNAcentral